AAAAAAAAGAAAAAAAAUCUAGAAGGAUCUUCUUAUACUGCCUUGGGGACAGUAGCAGGUGUUAAAGGCUGAAUAUAUUUUUUUCUUUAGUUUCAAGUAAUUUUUAGCACUAGAUGAACUGUUAUUGCUUUUUUGAGAUUCUAUCUCAGGUGCAGGUGGCUUCUAGCUUCUUUGGCAGGGAAAAGAGGCAUGAAGAAAAGAAGCUAAAUUCUGUGCAAACUCCUACUCAUCCUUCAAAGCCUAUUUGAACAUCCUCUCCUUUACGAAGCCUUCCCUGAUGGCCCUGGGGAGUUAGGUGUCUUUCUCUUUCCUCAGUACCACCACUUAGGGAUGGUGACAGUUACACUGCAUUGGAACUAUUUGCAUGUCUCUCUCCUCUUCUGGAUUCUGGUCCCCUGAGAGCAAGAUAAAGGCAUCAGCGUUCAGGAUGAAUGCAUGACCCCAAAUCCAAGGUUUUCUGGCAGUGGUUACGAUCAUGAUGCUAGAAAUAUCAAUUUAUUGCAGUUGUCAUGACCCAGCUUCUGGACACCAAAUAAAAAAGCAUUGAAUGCAAAUGAUAGAGCACAGGUGAAGGAUGGUGAAUUUUAGGAGAACCUUAAGUCUGCACAAAACCAAAUUGUUCUCCCUCUCAUGCUGGUACCUGAGAGAAUGUGGGACACUCCCUUCUCCCUUGGUCAAGAUUAGAGGAGUCCCUUUAGUUUUUAUUUAUUUUUUUGAGACAGAUUUCUCUCUUGUUGCCCAGGCUGGAGUGCAGUGGCAUGAUCUCAGCUCACUGCAACCUCCCUCUCCCGGGUUCAAGCGAUUCUCCUUCCUCAGCCUCCUGAGUAGCUGGGAUUACAGGCACACGCCACCACACCUGGCUAAUUUUUUGUAUUUUUAGUAGAGACGGGGUUUCACUAUGUCGGCCAGGCUGGUCUCAAACUCCUGACCUCAGGUGAUCCACUCGCCUUGGCCUCCCAAGGUGAUGGGAUUACAGGUGUGAGCCACUGCACCAGGCCAGAGGAAUCCCUUUAUAAAGCUGUGUUUUCGGCUGGGUGCGGUGGCUCACGCCUGUAAUCCCAGCACUUUGAGGGGCCGAGGCAGGCAGAUCACCUAAGGUCAGGAGUUUGAGAUCAGCCUGGUGAAACCCCAUCUCUACAAAAAUACAAAAAUUAGCCAGGCGUGGUGGCGUGCACCUGAAAUUCCAGCUACUAGGGAGGCUGAGGCAGGAGAAUCACUUGAACCCGGGGGGCGGAGGUUGCAGUGAGCUGAGAUCGUGCCACCACAUUCCAGCCUGAGCAACAGAACAAGACUCUGUCUCAAAAAAAAAAAAAAAGAAAGAAAGAAAAAGAAAAGAAAAGAAAGAUAACUGUGUUUUCAGUGAUUUUCCCCAAGACUUUUUGUUUUGUUUUGUUUUUUUGAGACAGUGUCUUGCUCUGUUGCCCAGGCUGGAGUGCAGUGGUACAAUCUCAGCUCACUGCAGUCUCAGCCUUCUGGGCUCAAGUCAUCCUCCCUCUUCCCACCCAAACCUCCCCGGUAGCUGGGACUACAGGCAUGUGUCACCACGCCCAGUUGAUUCUUGUAUUUUUUGUAGAGACGGGGUUUCACCACGUUGCCUAGGCUGGUCUUGAAUGCCUAGGCUCAAGCGAUCCGCCUGCCUUGGCCUCUAAAAGUGCUGGGAUUACAGGCAUGAGCCACAAUACCUGGCCUUCCCCAAGACUUUUAAGUGAAACUUAGAAUCAAAUAAUGCACUUCCAGCAAUCCUGAACAAAUCUGAUUUUUCAAGACAUUGCUGAAACACUUCAAUUUGAGAAAUGUUUAUUCCGACCCAAAGCCAUACCCAGGGCAGCUGUCUUCUUUUUCCCUUUAUUCCAUAAGGUAAGAAAAAAACAUACUCACAGAGCCUUAGAGUUGUAAAGGCACCUGGUCACCUGGAAGGUGACUUGAAAGAACCCCUGCCCCUCCUCUUGCAUAUACCUCUGGAUUGUUGGGGAAUCUGCAUUCAUUUCUUCACCCGCACUGCCUCUGUACAGAACCCCGCUGAGUCAGUGUCUGUUCCAGGCACCUCCACACGUGUUCCCAUGUGCUGAGGGGGCCAUUGGUGGGCAGGCAGACCUCAGAAACAGUUGGUUGCAGUUGCUAUCACUUUCCUUUAGAUAUCUAGGCAGUAUUUCCUAGAGUGAAGUCAGAGUGGCUCAGGCUAAGAUGGGCUGCCUUUGUUUUGGAGCCCGGAACUAUACAUUCAACAAGCUCCUUCCUGUGUGCCAGGCACUCUGCUAGGUCGUCUUCACGCACAUUCCCACAUUUUCUGGUAGAAACACACAACAGCAAUGAAGGAAAAAAAAGGAAGCUCUCAAAGAAGUUAAUGCUUUGUUCCAGGUUAUCUAGCAGAAUCGAGAGCUAACCCACAACUUACAUCUCAAGUUUGGUAGUUAAUCUCAUAAUUUUUUAAAAAUGAAAACAGCCAGGAUUUAUGCAGUUCCAAGAGCCAGCCGGGUAAAAUAUAGACCCAACUCUGUUUUGGUGAAUGGAGGGGAGAUGAGAAGAGAAAAACCUCCCAGAACAAAGGAGGAGGUAUAAUUAUGUUUGCCUCAGAGAAAACUGGGAGAGAAACCAUUCAUCUUCCAUUCAUUCAUCUUCCGUUCCCAGAUCUUGGAAGAAUAGUCACUGUAAUGUGGGGGCUAGAAGCAUUGGCUUAUGAAGUGGACAGGCAAAGGUAGGUUUUCAGCUCCACCACAUCCUAGCUAGGUAAACUUGGACAAGUUGCUUAAACUCUCCACUACUCCAAGAGGUUACAGAUCACUGAAAGUACAGACAUUGGCAAGUAUUUUUUGGAAACACAUUAUGGGUCCUAAGGACUAUAAUAUAGUCUAUAAAUCUGGAAUUUUAUGCUGGAAAAUACAACUUGUUUUCAAAUGGAAAAUGAUUGUGUUUUGUAUAAAACAACAGAGUCACAUUUUAAGACCAGGCUGGAUAACAUAACAAGACCCCUUCUCUACAAAAAAUAAUAAAAAUAAGCCAGUUAUAAAGAGAGCUGAAUAAUAACAAAAGAAAAAAGAAAAAAAUUAGCUAGGUGUGGUGGUGUGUUUGGGAGGCUGAGGCAGGAGGAUCACUAGGGAUCAGGAAAUCAUGACCAGCCUGGGCAACAUAGCAAGACUCCCAUCUCUACCAAAAAAAAAAAAAUUGUUUUUAAUUAGCUGGGCAUGGCAGUGUGCUUGGAAGGCUGUGGUGGGAGGAUCACUUGAGCCCAGGAGUUUGAGGUUAUGGUGAACUAUGAUUGCAGCAUUGCACUCCAGUCCAGGCAACAGAGCAAGACAGUGUCUCUGAAAAUAAAAAUAAAACAGCAGAGUCACAUUUUCAAAUUGUAGAUGCCAACCUCUUCUUUCCCAGGCCUGACUGCCUCACACACUUUGUUUAGUAUAGAGCACUUCCCCAUAAGCCACCAAGCCCCAGUUAUGGCGUAAUUCAAACCCUGCCCCUAGAAUUUCAUGUAGGAGGGUCACAGGUCUGUGUGCUCAGCAAAUGUUUGCUGUCCUCUGCUGGGAAUUUUGUUCCAGGUCACACUAACAGGGCAGAUACUUGGCAGCCUGUGACCAGGUCCAGCCCACUCAUUGGUCAGAUGGAAAUUUUCUUUCCAGUUUGGAGGAGGGAGCAACUGGAGAAAGCUUAUCCAAGGUUCAUCGCUGUGACAUUUUUCCUGCUUUGUGGACCCCAUUUCUGCUUGUGACCAGUGAUCAAAUUUUAUACAUACUUAGACAUAUUUUGAAGACAUGAGUACCCUACUGUUUCACGUAGACCUCUGGGAACUGUCAAACUUCUUUCCUACCAAAUUCCUUUUUUCUUUUUUUUUUAGACAGAGUCUCACUCACUCUGUUACCCAGGCUGGAAUGCAGUGGUGCGAUCUCAGCUCACUGCAAACUCUGCCUCCUCAGGUUCAAAUGAUUCUCCUAACUCAGUCUCCCGAAUAGCUGGGAUUACAGGUGCACGACACCAUGCCCAGCUAAUUUUUGUAUUUUUAGUAGAGACGGGGUUUCACCAUGUUGGCCAGGAUGGUCUCCAACUCCUGACCUCAAGUAAUUCACCCGCCUCAGCCUCCCAAAGUGCUGGGAUUACAGGCGUGAGCCACUGCGCCCAGCCCUUGGCUACCAAAUAUCUAAAGAUAGAAGAAAGGAUGAGAUUAAUGAUAGACUAAGAAGAGUUUGGGAAUGCCUGUUGGUAAUUAGGGUGGACUGUCUUUGGAAAUAAUAAUAGGUAACAAAUAUGUGUUUUCUCUAUGUCAUGUGCUGUGUUAAAUACAGGAUCUUAUUCAAAGCUCAGCCCUCAUUUUGGAGACAAGGAAACUGAGGCUCAAAGAGGUUAAGCAACUUGUCCAAGGUUACCUAGCUAGGUGGUGGAGCUGAAAACCUACUUAUGCCUGUCUAUUUCAUAAGCCAAUGCUUCUAGCCCCCAUGUUACAGUGACUACUCUUCCAAGGUCUGGGAAUGGAAGACGAAUGAAUGGAAGAUGAAUGGUUUCUCUCCCGGUUUUCUCUGAGGCAAACAUAAUUAUACUUCUUCCUCUGUUCCUGGAGGUUUUUUCUUCUCAUAUCACCUUUAUUCAACAAAACAGAAUGGGUCUAUAUUUUAUCCAGCUGGCUCUUGGAACCACAUAAAUCCUGGUUGUUUUCAUGGAAAAAAAAAAAAGAAAGAACAGAAAAAGUACAGCUUGCUAUCUUAUCCCACAUGAAUAUCAGAUGUGCAAAGUCAGCUAUAAAUAAGAGGAUAUUUUGGCCAGGCACAUUGGCUCACGCCUGUAAUCCCAGUGCUUAGGGAGGCCUAGGCGGGCUGAUCACUUAAGGUCAGGAGUUCAAGAUCAGCCUGGCCAACAUAGCGAAACCCCGUCUCUACUAAAAAUACUAAAAAAAAAAAAAAAAUUAGCCGGGCAUGGUGGCAGGUGCCUGUAGUCUCAGCUACUCAGGAGGCUGACCCAGGAGAAUCACUUGAACCCAGGAGGCAGAGGUUGUGGUGAGCUGAGAUUGCGCUACUGCACUCCUGCCUGGGUGAUAGAGUGAGACUUUGUCUCAAAACAAAACAACAAAACAAAAACAGGAUAUUUUUUAAAAUGCUGAGAGUCCCUAAUUCAUUCUCAGGAAAUUCAGUCUCCUACAAGCCAGAUCAUGCACAAAUUCUCAGCAUCACCUAAAGCCUAAGCCACCUCACCAAAGGGGGAGGGAGGGAUCAGUUGUUACCAUUUUGCAGUCAAAGCCCCAGGGUGUGUGUCUGAGAAGACUGAACUUGAGUAAAUUAAGCUCUUCAGAUAAAUACGGUUUGCUGAAAUUAAACAUGAAACAUUCUGCAAAAGUAGGUGUACUAUCCGGAAGCCAAGUAAUUAACAUCAAUGCAGGACCCCGGAACAGAAAAAGGUCAUUAAAGGAAAAACUGGUGAAAUCCAAAUAAAGACUAGAGUUUAGUUCCUAGCAAUGUGUCAGUGUUGGUUUCUCAGUUUUGACAAAUGUGCCACAGUGGUGUAAGCUGUUAACAUUAGGGGAAACCGGAACCGGGUGAGGGCGUGCCUGAGAAUUAUCUGUGCUAGCUUUGAAACAUUUCUGUACAUUUAAAUUAUGCCAAAAUAAAAAGUUUAAAAUUUCAGUACCAAUGAACUGGUUUUCUUUCUUAUAGGAAUACUGAAGGGGGCUUGUAACACUUAAACUUCUUUCUCUGGAGACAGGGUCUCACUCUGUUGCCCAGGUUGGAAUGCAGUGGCAUGAUCACAGCUCACUGCAGCCUCGACUUCCUGGACUCAGGUGUUUCUCCCACCUCAGCCUCCUGAGAAACUGGGACUACCAGUGCACGCCACCAUGGCUGGCUAAUUUUUUGUAUUUUUUGUAGAGAUGGGGUCUCACCAUGUUGCCCAGGCUGGUCUUGAGCUCCUGAGUUCAAGGGAUCCGCCCACCUCAACCUCCCAAAGCGCUGGGAUUACAGGCAUGACCCACCGCAUCCGGCUAAGCUUCUCUCAAACAAGAUAAAGCUUGCUUCUCUUGCUACCUUUGAACCUCAGCAUAAAGAAUAGUUACCAACAAUGGAGAGUUUGUGCUUUCUUUUAAAAAAAAAAAGCAAAACCAGAUGCAGAGCCAGGUCAGUGCCAAGUGAAAAAGAGCCAUGCGAUAUCUUCGCAUUUUUUGAAUGAAUCUUUUCCUUUUGUUGUCAUGCCCUUUUAGUGUCAUUUUUAAUUGACUGGGCAAAUGAACUGCAGCAUUUUGUAGAUGCCAAAGAGGUACUGAAUUUCUUAGAACCCAAGUGCACACAAGUGAACUUCAGGAAGUUUUGCAACUUUUUUUCCAGAAAGUGGUGGGCAGCCACAGGACCGAAGGAAACACCCGUCAACAUAACCAAGAGGAUUUCCUGCCCACACACUCAGCGUCUCAACGUUAUUUGAACGGUUUGUAGAUGUCUUUCUUUAGAAAUAUACUAAUAAAAUUGGAAAUACGGGAUCAGUAGUCCUAGCAAACCAAAAUGACUUCAUCCAUUUCUGGAGAAUAAUGAAGUCCUAUGCAUUCAAGUUGUUUUCUUUUUUCUUCUUUCUUUCUUUUUUUUUUUAAGACCUUUUCUUGGUUAUGACAAAUGUAACACAAUAAUUUUUUUUUUUUUGAGAUGGAGUCUUGCUCUGUCGCCCAGGCUGGAGUGCAGUGGCACGAUCUCAGCUCAUUGCAACCUCCGCCUCCCAGGUUCAAGUGAUUCUUCUGCCUCAGCCUCCCGAGUACCUGGGACUACAGGCGCUCGCCACCAAGCCCAGCUAAUUUUUGCAUUUUUAGUAGAGACAGGGUUUCACCAUAUUGGCCAGGCUGGUCUCGAACUCCUGACCUCGUGAUCCACCCACUUUGGCUUCCCAAAAUGCAGGGAUUACAGGUGUGAGCCACCGCGCCUGGCUGUAACACAAUAAUUUAAGAUGACAACAUUCGAGGAAGUUAGAACUGAGAAGAGGGUACACAGCAUUUUCUGCGAGAUUGACUCAACUUUGAUUCCAUCAAGGAAACAAAAAUAUUGUAUAGAAAUUUACUCUUCAUUCUCUCCCAAAACAUUUAAGAGUUUUUCAUUUUUCUUUGUAAGAAUAUAAAAGGUUUUCCUAAACUCUUUGCAUUCUUUUCCUUUUUCUUCUUCUUUUUUUUUUUUUUUUUUUUUGAGACAGGGUCUCUCUCUGUCACCCAAGCUGGAGUGCAGUGGCACUACCACUACCAUGCCUCACUGCAGCCUGGACCUCCUGGGCUCAAGUGAUCCUUCCACCUCAGCCUUCCAAGUAGCUGGGACUGCAGGCAUGCACCAUGACUCCCGGCUAAUUUUUGUAUUUUUUGUAGAGACAGCGUCCCACUUCGUUGCCCAAGCUGGUCCAGAACUCCUGGAAUAUGCCCGCCUCGGAUUUCCAAAGUGCUGGGAUUAUAGGCGUGAGCCACCUGCACCCGGCCUCUUUUUCCAUUAAUUGGUAUGUUUAAAACAAUGAGCAACAUACCUUCCUUGCUAGAAUCUGCCUCUUGACUCUAGCAUUGGAAUCUAUAAAAUACAAUGCCAAGCAAAGGCAUAGGACACGAGUCCUUUACAAUGAGUGUUGAAAUCAUGGCAUCAGGGACCCAGAAUUCCUGAAUUAUAUUCCUAUUCUUUGCCCAAGCCAUUUUUAUUUUAUUUUAUUUUACUUUAUUUAGAGAUGGGGUCUCGCUCUAUAGCCCAGGCUGGAGUGCAGUGGCAUGAUCAUAGCUCACUGCAGCCAUGAACUCCUGGGCUCAAGCUCAAGCAAUCCUCCUGCCUCAGCCUCCCAGGUAGCUAGGACUACAGGCACAAGCCACCACACCUGGCUUCCCGAACAAUUUUAAAAUUCAUUUAGUCAAUAAACAGGGAGAUGCAGAAAUGAGUCAAAGAGCCUUCAAGGACCAUACAGUGUAAUCUGGAGAUACAGACAGGUAACAGUGCUGCAGCUGUUAUGUUGGAAGUUUGUGGGGGACAUGUGGGAACAAAGCAGGUAUAGAUUGGAGUGGUGUUUGACCUGACUUGAGAGUAGUGAUCUCAGUGGGGGAGAUCUUGGCCCCCAGGGGACAUUCUGCAAUGUCCAAAGACAAUUUUGGUUGUCACAACUUGGAGGAGGGGAGGGGUGCCACUGGCAUCUGGUGGGCAGAGGCCAGGGAUACUGUUAAACAUCCUAUAAGGGACAGAGCUGCCCCUCACCACAAAGAAUUGUCCAGCCCCACAUGUCAAUAACACUGAGGUUGAGAAACUGUAGUUUAAACAAACAGAAGAAAUGGGGUUUACCAGGCAAACUAAACAGAGAAGAAUAAUUCAGGGAAGUGGUAAGACAGGAGUGAGGGAUGGACAGAUAAGCUGGAGAUGUAAUCUGUAUGCUUAAGCUGAUUAUUUUUUCCCUUUGAACCUUAAUUUUCCCAUUCACAAAAUAGUGAUGCUAUAAUGUGGAAUGACUCACCUCUUUUCCUGGUAUCAGAAGAAAGUGCCACUGAUAAAAAUUGUGUGCCUGGGUCCCACCUACUUCUAAUUGUCCUGCUCAAGCCUACCUGUUCCUCAGCAGUGCUGGUAGCUUAUUGAUGAGAACAAAGACGGUACUUGGGAAAUCUAAGGAAGGGCAAUGUGGCAGGUAAAAUUGUCAGUAAGCCGGGCGUGGUGGCUCACGCCUGUAAUCCCAGCACUGUGGGAGGCCGAGGCAGGCUGAUCACCUGAGGUUGAGACUUCGAGACCAGCCUGACAAACAUGGAGAAACCUCGUCUCUACUAAAAAUACAAAAUUAGCCGGGCACGGUGGCGCAUGCCUGUAGUCCCAGCUACUCGGGAGGCUGAGGCAGGAGAAUGGCGUGAACCCAGGAGGCGGAGCUUCCAGUGAGCCGAGAUUGCGCCACUGCACUCCAGCCUGGGCGACAGAGCAAGACUCGGUCUCAAAAAAAAAAAAAAAAUUGUCAGUAAAAGCGAGGACUGUAUUUAAUGGCAUGUAACAAGAACCCAGCUACCACAGGAAUUAUAAUUCUUAUGUAAUGUGACAUCUGGAAAUGGGCAGUCUAGAGCUAAAUGGCCACUCCAUGGUGCCAUCAGGAGCCCAGACUCCUUCUGUCUUUCCCCUCUGACGUCCUUAGCAUGUGACUCCAAUCCGCAUAUUUGUGAGAUGGCGGCUGAACCUCUCAAUCUUUGGAAGUUUCAUCAGCAUUCCAGGCAAGGAAGAGGGGAAAAAAGGAAAAGAGCAACAGGCAAAAGGUGAAAGCCUUCCCAGUUGAGUCUCCUCCACUUAACAAACUUUCCUGGAAUCGUCUGUGCCCAGAACUUCCACGUAUGUAUACAUUGGCCUGAACCACAUUAUGUAACUAUCCAUAAACUCCAGGGAGUCUGGAAGCUGAGUGUUUUCAAGUGGGCAUCUUGAACAAAAUAGUUUUUUUUAAUAAGGAAGAAAAAGUAUAAUAGGUGCCGUGUAGGUAACUAGAACUGUUGCCUUAGUGCUUUAAAAUGAGUACAUUCAGGGCCAGGAGCGGUGGCUCACGCCUGUAAUUCCAGCACUUUGGGAGGCCGAGGGGGGUGGAUCACCUGAGGUUGGGAGUUCAAGACCAGCCUCACCCACAUGGAGAAACCCCGUCUCUACUAAAAAUACAAAAUUAGCUGGGCAUGGUGGCACAUGCCUGUAAUUCCAGCUACUUGGGAGGCUGAGGCAGGAGAAUCGCUUGAACCCAGGAGGCAGAGGUUGGGGUGAGCUGAGAUGGCGCCAUUGCACUCCAGCCUGGGCAACAAGAGUGAGACUCCGUCUCAAAAAAAGAAAAAAAAAAUGAGUUCAUUCAGCUGGGAGCGGUAGCUCAUGCCUGUAAUUCCAGCACUUUGGGAGGGUGAGGCGGGUAGAUCACCUGAGGUCAGGAAUUCGAGACCAGCCUGGCCAAUGUAACAAAACCCCGUCUCUACUAAAAAUACAAACAAACAAAAGAAAUUAGCCAGGCAUGAUGGUGCAUGCCUGUAAUCCCAGCUACUUAGGAGGCUGAGACGGGAGAAUCAUUUGAACCCGGGAGGCGAAAGCUCCAGUGAGCCGACAUCAUGCCACUGCACUUCAGCCUGAGUGACAGAGUAAGACCCUGUCUCAAAAUAUAAUAAAAUAAAAUAAAGCAUAUUGCAGAUAAUGUAACCAUUCAAUAGUCAUUCGAAAAUAUUUAUUGAAUGCCAAGUAUGUACUCAGCACUAUCGUAAGCACAGAACACACAAAAAAUGGAACCACGAAUAACCCUAGCUUCUGCGUCUAAUGAGCUUGUUGAAAUCCAGUUGGGAAAAACAUACAACAUAAACAAUAAGAAGUUGGACAACCAUGAAAGAGUUAAAUAACAAUCUAUAAUAGCAAUAUAAAAAAGCAGUACAUCACUGGUGGGAAUGUAAAAUGGUAUAACCUAUAGCCACUUUGGAAAGCUGCUAAGUUUCUAAAAAAUUUAAACAUAGUAUUUACCAUAUGAUACUGCAAUUCCACUUAUAGGUAUUUACCUAAGAGAAAUGAAAAUAUAAAGAUUUCGCCAGGUCCCGUGGCUCACGCCUAUAAUCCCAACGCUUUGGGAGCCCAACUUAGGUGGAUUACCUGAGGUCAGGAGUUCCAGACCAGGCUGGCCAACAUGGUGAAACUCUGUCUCUACUAAAAAUACAAAAAUCAACCAGGCUUGGUGGCUUGUACCCGUAAUCCCAGCUACUCGGGAAGCUGAGGCAGGAGAAUCAAGAGUCGGAGGUUGCAGUAAGACAGUGAGCUGAGAUCGUGCCACUGCACUCCAGCCUGGGCAACAAAGCGAGAUUCCAUCUCAAAAAGAAAAAAAAAAGUGAGAAUGUUUCUUAAUUGAAAAAACAUAGGCCUGUCUGGGCACAGUGGCUCACACCUGUAAUCCCAACACUUUGGGAGGCCGAGGCGGGCGGAUCACAAGGUCAGGAGUUCUAUACCAGCCUGUCCAACAUGGUGAAACCGUCUCUACUAAAAAAACAAAAAUUAGAUGGGUAUGGUGGCAGGCGCCUGUAAUCCCAGGUACUCGGGAGGCUGAGGCAGGAGAAUUGCUUGAACCCAGGAGGCGGAGUUUGCAGUGAGCCGAGAUCGCGCCACUGCACUCCAGCCUGGGUGACAGAGGGAGACUCUGUCUCGAAAAAAAGAAAAAACAUAAGUCCUUGGUUGGGAGGAAAGUUGUACUGUUCAAAUUUUUUCUGUCUGCUCCCUCUGUUGAUUCUGAGAAUUGUAUUUAUCUCCCAUUGUGAUUUGUGGAUCAUUUUCAUCAUUUCAGUCUUUGUUUUAUACAUUUCUUUUCUUUUCUUUUUUUGAGACAGAGUUUCACUCUUGUUGCCCAGGUUGGAGUGCAAUGGUGCGAUCUCGGCUCACUGCAACCUCCCCUUCCCGGGUUCAAGUGAUUCUCCUGCCUCAGCCUCCUGAGUAGCUGGGAUUACAGGCGCCCACCACCACGCCCAGCUAAUUUUUGUUAUUUUUAGUAGAGAUAGCUGUUGGGAGCAAGCCCCCCAAAGUCUGGUCAUAAACUGGCCCCAAAACUGGCCAUAAAUAAAAUCUCUGCAGCAAUGUAACAUGUCCAUAAUGGCUAUAACGCCCAAGCUGGAAGGCUGUGGGUUUACGGAAAUGAGGGCAAGGAACACCUGGCCUGCCCAGGGCGGAAAACUGCUUAAAGGCAUUCUUAAGCCACAAACAAUAGCAUAAGCAAUUCAUGCCUUAAGAGCAUGCUCCCGCUGCAGUUAACUAGCCCAACCUAUUUCUUUAAUUCAGCCCAUCCCUUCGUUUCCCUUAAGGGAUACUUUUAGUUAAUUUAAUAUCUAUAGAAACAAUGCUAAUGACUGGUUUGCUGUUAAUAAAUAUGUGGGUAAAUCUCUGUUCAGGGUUCUCAGCUCUGAAGGUUGUAAGAUCCCUGAUUUCCCACUUCACACCUCUAUAUUUCCUUUUUUUUUUUUUUUUUUUUUGAGACAGAGUCUCACUCUCGCCCAGGCUGGAGUGCAGUGGCACGAUCUCUGCUCACUGCAAGCUCCGCCUCCCGGGUUCACGCCAUUCUCCCGCCUCAGCCUUCCGAGUAGCUGGGACUACAGGCGCCCGCCACUACGCCCGGCUAAUUUUUUGUAUUUUUAGUAGAGACGGGGUUUCACCGUGUUAGCCAGGAUGGUCUUGAUCUCCUGACUUCGUGAUCCGCCUGCCUCGGCCUCCGAAAGUGCUGGGAUUACAAGCGUGAGCCACCGCGCCCGGCCUCACACCUCUAUAUUUCUGUGUGUGUGUCUUUAAUUCCUCUAGCACUGCUGGGUUAGGGUCUCCCUGACCGAGCUGGUCUCGGCAGAUAAGGUUUCACCAUGUUGGCCAGGCUGGUCUCAAACUCCUGACUUCAGGGGAUCCCCGCCCCAGCCUCCCAAAGAGCUGGGAUUACGGGCAUGAGUCACCGUGCCCAGCCAAUUUUCUUUUGUUUUUUCUUUUGAGACAGGAUCUCACUCUGUCACCCAGGCUUGAAUGCAGUGGUACCAUCUCGGCUCACUGCAGCCUCAAUCUUCUGGGCUCAAAUGAUCCUCCCACCUUAGCCUCCCGAGCAGCUGGGGCUACAAGUGCACACUACCAAGCCCAGCUAAUUUUUUUUUUUUUUUUUUUUUUUUGAGACAGAGUCUUGCUGUGUCCCUCACCCAGGUUGGAGAGCAGUGGUUCGAUCUUGGCUCACUACAACCUCUGCCUCCCGUGUUCAAGCAAUUCUCGUGCCUCAGCCUCCUCAGUAGCUGGGAUUACAGGCACGUGCCACCAUGCCCAGUUAAUUUUUGUAUUUUUAAUAGAGACGGGGUUUCGCCAUGUUGACCAGGCUGGUCUUGAACCCCUGACCUCAGCCUCCCAAAGUGCUGAGAUUACAGGUGUGAGCCGACAUGCUAGGCCUAUACAUUUCAAAAUUAUGUUGCUAUGUUCAUAAAGAUGUAUAUAUGGUAACUUGUACCUUCAAUCAACAUGAAAUACCCUUCUUUGUCCUUUUAAUGCCUUUAUGAUAAAUUCUGUCUCAUAUUAAUAUUGCUACAUAUGCUUUCUUUCCAUAAACAUUUCCAUAAACAUAAAAAUGGCUGGUAAGUCAUUUUCCUUUUUUUUAAAAAAAUUUUUGUUUUUUAGAGGCAGGAGCUCAUUCUGUCUCCCAGGUUGGAGUACAAUGGUUCAAUCAUAGCUCAUAGUUUACUGCAGCCUCGAACUCCUGGGUUCAAGGGAUCUUACCACCUCCGUCUUCCGAGCAGCUGGGACUACAGGUGCAAGUCACCACGCCUGGUUAAUUUUUUUAAAUUUUUUGUAGAGACAAGGUCACAAUAUGUUUCCCAGCCUGGUCUUGAACUCCUGGCCUCAAGCAAUCCUCCUGCCUUGAGAAAUAUAGUAAACAAAAAAUGUGAAAUAACAUGGCAGAAAUAAGUCCAAAUAAAUAAAUAAUCAAAAAUAAAUACAAAUGAUUUAUAUUCUCUUCUUAAAAGAGAGCUCUGAGAAACCCCAAAGCCAGCUAUAUGUUGUUUAUAAAGAGACAUACAUAAAACAAAACAGCAUGAUUAAGAAGAUAAUAUAACCCAUUCACAUUUAUGUUUUAUUAUUUAUAUAUUUGGACUUAUUCCUGCCAUGUUAUUUUCUGUUUUCUGCUUACCAGUGUACAGUAUUUUUCUGUUUUCCCUUUUCUGGAAUGCCUAUUUAUUUCUGUUCCUGUUUUGUCCACCCUUUCCUGACUGAUUCUUUCUGAAUAAUGACUUUUUUUUUUUUUUUUUUUUUUUUUGAGAAAGUCUCACUCUGUUGACCAGGCUGGAGUGCAAUGGCACAAUCUUGGCUAAUUGCAACCUCUGCCUCCCAGGUUCAAGACAUUAUCCUGCCUCAGCCUCCCCAGUAGCUGAGAUUACAGGCGCCCCCCACCAUGUCCGGCUAAUUUUUGUAUUUUUAGUAGAGACUGGGUUUCACCAUGUUGGCCAGGCUGGUCUCGAACUCCUGAUCUCAGGUGAUCUGCCCACCUCGGCCUCCCAAAGUGCUGGGAUUACAGGGGUGAGCCACCGCGUUUGGCCUCAAAGACCGAGAACUUUGUAAUUUAUAUAUUUUAUAGCUCUUAUCACAGGUGUCUAGUAAAUAUUUUUAAACACUUAUGGCACCUGAUGCAAGAAUUACCAGGUUCAUUUUAUAGAGAGGAUAUGAAACUGUCCAAGGGUUUGGACUCACAUGUUCAAGACUGCAUGGACAGCAAUCUGUAGUGGGUCAAAUUAUUGUUUUUAGUAUGAUUUAAAGUGUUUGUCAAAAAUAUAAAAGUUUUGAAAACAAGCUGGGGAAGUGAAUUUCAAUAUCGCAUUAACUAAGAUCAAAGUGCAAUUCAUCAACCUUUUUUCCCCAUCCCGCACCCUGUGCUUUCUCUACUCAGUUACUCACUACACCCUGCUGGACUAAAAGGGUCCUCCAGCAUUUUCUUUCUUACACAGUGAAAGACAUUCUCUUGGCAUUAAUAAAUGUUCACUUAAUAAAUAAAAAGGGCCGGGCUCUGUGGUUCCUGCCUGCAAUCCCAGCAGUUUGGGAGGCCAAGGCAAGAGGAUCGCUUGAGCCUAGGAGUUCCAGCCUAGGCAACGUGGCGAAACCCAGUCUCAAAAAAAAAAAAAAGGAAAAAAAAGGCAUCAAAAAAUAAAACGUAACAGGUGGCAUGACAUGACAUGACUUUUCUAACAGCCUCUUACAGCUUUCCAAGGUCUUUUAAUAUGAAGCUAUAGGUCUCGGCUAGAAGACACCUCCAGACUUCUCCCAAAACAUUUCAGAGGCCCGGAGUAAGUCUCCCCACAUCUGAAGGCACAUCAGAACCCAGGUGGCCCAAGCUGAUGAGAGUUAAACAGGAAGUUGGUUUCUUGGUCCGGCAGAGACUCCAAUCACCCCCACCUCUUUUCCAACCCACAGGACAGCACGUGCUCAGGAGGCUCUGGAGUUGGGACAGCCCAGUUAAAAAAAAAAAAAUCAUUGAUUUCCCUCCCAACGAAGAGGGAGAAAACACGUUAGGAGACUCGUGGCCCAGUCCUGGCAAAAACCAAAACUAUGUCCCUUUAGAGGGCUUAGAUAUCAAGAGAUGGACUUGCUUUUAGUUCUUUUUCCCAUCCUGUUCCCUCCCUACCAAAAUAAAAUUGACCAGCUAAUCCGACUUAAUAACACUAAAGAAUUACUUAGGAACCUGCUAUCUUAACAUUUCACUUUUUGCAUAUCCUCCAAAUACCAGGUAGCAGUCUUACUACUGUUUGCACCCCUAGAACCUGGAAUAGUGCUGCCCGCAGAGGAGGAAGCAAUAAUUACUUGUUAGAGAAGGUAUUGCUGUGCAUUUCUGGGGAAUUUCACAUUUUGUAAUUUGCUUUAAAAAAAGUGGACAGGCAUAUUUACGGGGGUUUCUCGGACUUCUCCAUGUUAAUAUUCGUGUGUAUAAAUCGCUCCCGUGCUGCUCUCUGGGGGCCCCUCUUUCACAAACACCUGGCCACCCUCACGCCACAAUGGCCAGGCAGGAACCUCGACCUCCCCUCGGAGAGGGGGCUCAGGGUCAACCCCGGGGUCUCAGUCUCUACAUGUGACGUUUUCCUGUCCCCUCAUUUAAAAUAACAAGAGGCUGGGCGCAGUGGCUUACGCCUGUAAUCCCAGCACUUUGGGAGGCCGAGGCGGGCGAUCACGAGGUCAGGAGAUGGAGACCAUCCUGGCCAACACGGUGAAACCCCGCCUCUACUAAACUACAAAAAAUUAGCCGGGUGUGGUGGCGGGCGCCUGUAGUCCCAGCUACUCGGGAGGCUGAGGCAGGAGAAUUGCUUGAACCCGGAGGCGAAGGUUGCAGUGAGCUGAGAUCUCGCCACUGCACUCCAGCCUGGUGACAGAGCCUGACUCCGUCUCAAAAAAUAAGAAAAAAAAAUAAAAUAAAAAUAAUAGAGGCCGAAGCGGGAGGUUCACUUGAGCUCAGAAGUUCGAGAUCAGCCUGGGCAACACAGUGAGACCUCGUUUCUAUUUAAAAAAUAAAAUAAAACUAAAUUUAAAAAAAUGCACGCUCAUAGUACAAACUUUAGAAAUGGAACGAAAAACUAAAAUUGAAGGUAUUCCCCUCCAACCCAGAGAUAACACCUAUCGUUUAUUAAGCCCUCACUAUUGUUAAACUUA
This 16079-nucleotide long non-coding RNA is filed under the name Homo sapiens (human). Its description in RNAcentral is "HSALNT0276691". The record is from RNAcentral. Lineage: Eukaryota; Metazoa; Chordata; Mammalia; Primates; Hominidae.